This 430-nucleotide long non-coding RNA is filed under the name Mytilus galloprovincialis (Mediterranean mussel). Lineage: Eukaryota; Metazoa; Mollusca; Bivalvia; Mytilida; Mytilidae. The record is from RNAcentral.
GCCACUAGAGUGAAGGUUGAUCACCCCCGUUAAUUUUGGCGGGCUUUGUGUUGCUAAAUGUAUUUUUAUGCAGACGGUGGUUCUGUGGAUUUGUUUGUCUUUUCGUCGUCUCUCAUUUGUUGACUAUUUGAUUACGGAUUUACCGUUUUGAAUUUUCCUCGGAGUUCAGUAUUUUUGUGGUUUUAUUUUUGCUCUGCGUUGUCAGUUCACAUUGACGUAUGAGCUUUGUAUGAGCCCUUAGUAUCGUCUCGCACCUCUUUUGAAAUAUAAUUUGAUUAAAUUUUUGAAAUUCUAUUUGGUAAAUCAAGUGGACUAUAUUAUCAAAAUUCCAGAAAGUUUGGCGAGCAAAACAUAUACAGAGGAAUUACCUCUAUCAAUCCAAAGCACAUCGUCUUAAAAUUUUGAAGCCAACAGCAAUUAAACUUUGUAC